Molecule: RNA transcript, 2246 nt
Organism: Vigna unguiculata (cowpea)
Lineage: Eukaryota; Viridiplantae; Streptophyta; Magnoliopsida; Fabales; Fabaceae
Gene name: ABSCISIC ACID-INSENSITIVE 5-like protein 5
Source: RefSeq, a predicted model, not a curated record
UAUUGCUAUUGCAAUUGCUAUUCCUUCCACAUCCCCUCCAUUCUUUUUAUAUGCUUACAAAUUCUUAUCUGCUUUUAUUCCUCCACUUUCUUAUUUCUAUCUUUUCUAUCUUUCACUUCAAACACUCACGCAACAAUUCUCUUCACUAUCACCUCACAACAUAAUUGAUACUAGGCUUCAAAUUCGGAUUCUUUCAAAUUAGGAUCUCAAUUCAUCAAAUUACUAGGAUGCUGCUACAUGCUACAUGUAAUAAUUUCUUCUGCCAUAUGUAUAGAUAAAAUAGGUUACCCAGAUAAAAUGUAAGUGUAACACAAUCCAACUGUACCGCACUCACUACUCACAAUAGAUUAACGCCUCUUUGUAGUUUCAUGAUUCUUGGAAGCUCACCGUACCUGAGUUCUACUUUCUCUGCUCAUUUUUUUUAGGUUUUUAUUUGGAUGUAAAUAGUUUGUACUUGGUAGGUAAUUGGUGAUUCUCUGAAUUUCCUGCCGGAAAAUUAAGGAGACUAGUGUUAGUUUUGGUGCGGAGGAGGGGAAAACUGAGAUUUGGAUUCGGAUCAGGUUGGGAUUGCGUUUGGUUGUUUAAAAUUUCGAUAUGAAUUUCAAGAGCUUCGGGAAUGAAGCUGGCGGCGGCGGUGGCGACGGAGGAGGGAGGCCGGUGGGGAACUUCUCCCUCACGCGGCAGCCGUCGGUGUACUCGCUGACGUUCGACGAGUUCAUGAACAGCAUGGGAGGUUCGGGGAAGGACUUUGGCUCCAUGAACAUGGACGAGUUGCUCAAGAACAUUUGGACGGCGGAGGAGGUUCAUACAAUGGCUUCGGCGGGCGUUGCCACCGAGGACGUAGGAGCCGGCGUCAGCCAUUUGCAGCGGCAGGGGUCGCUGACGCUGCCGCGGACUCUGAGCCAGAAGACAGUGGAUGAGGUUUGGAAGGACAUUUCGAAGGAUUACGGUGGGCACGGCGGGCCCAAUCUUGCACAGACGCCGAGACAGCCCACUCUGGGAGAGAUGACUUUGGAGGAGUUUCUGGUCAGAGCUGGUGUUGUUAGGGAAGAUGCGAAGCCAAACGAUGCCGUUUUCAUGGAUCUGGCUCGUGCAGGGAAUAACAACGGUUUGGGGUUUGGGUUCCAGCAGAUGAACAAGGUUUCUACUGCUACCGGUUUGAUGGGUAACCGGUUGAACAAUGACCCACUGGUGGGUCUUCAGUCUUCUGCCAAUUUGCCUUUGAAUGUUAAUGGGGUGAGAUCAUCCGGUCAGCAGCCACAGAUGCAGAGUCCACAGUCUCAGCAACAGCAUCAGCAGCAGAUAUUUCCUAAGCAGAGUCCUAUGUCCUAUGCAGCUGCUCAGAUGCCCCAGGGAAUGGUGAGGGGUGGGAUUGUGGGACUCGGUGGUGAUCAGGGUUUGAGCGUGCAAGCUGGAGGGAUUGGUAUGGUUGGUUUGGCACCUGGGUCAGUUCAUGUUGCUACUGGGUCUCCUGCUGCUAACCAAAUAUCCAGUGAUAAGAUGACCAAGAGCAAUGGUGAUACCUCGUCUGUCUCACCGGUGCCUUAUGUCUUUAACGGAGGUAUGCGAGGGAGGAAGAGUGGAGGAGCUGUGGAGAAGGUGAUUGAGAGGAGGCAGAGAAGGAUGAUAAAGAACAGAGAGUCAGCUGCCAGGUCACGGGCACGCAAGCAGAUUAUGCAGCAGAAUGGUAAUAUGAUAGCGAUCUGAUCUGAUGAAAGGUGAAAGAUUUUGAGAAGUUACAAUCAUGAGAAGUUGUAAAGAUCCAGGUUAUUACAAGGCUUAUACUAUGGAAUUGGAAGCAGAAGUUGCAAAGUUAAAAGAGGAGAACCAGGAACUUCUGAAAAAACAGGCUGAAAUCAUGGAAAUUCAGAAAAAUCAAGUUAAGGAAAUGAUGAAUUUGCAACGAGAAGUCAAGAGAAGACGCCUGAGACGAACACAAACUGGUCCGUGGUAGAGUGAAGAUUGUACUAUGACUCUACCGUUAAAAUAUAUGUACAUAAUUAUAAAAACGUAUUCUGUUGUAGAUCGAGGCUCUGGUAGUUUUUAGAUUAGCACUUGGAAACUUUCACGUCUUACUUCUCUUUUGAACACGUUAGGAAGGGUAUGCAUAGUAUCAGGAGAAUAUGUUUCAGCACACAUCCAAUUUCAUGUCACCAUUGGUUAGACAAUCUUGUGAAGUAGCACUUUUCCUGGAUUUUAUUUGGUGAGAUUGCGUGUCCAAUAUAUGCACUUCUCUUCAUUCACCA